This 440-nucleotide ribosomal RNA is filed under the name uncultured bacterium. RNAcentral's name for it is "partial 16S ribosomal RNA". It matches the Rfam family "Bacterial small subunit ribosomal RNA", at positions 338 to 795 of the family's 1533-position model. The record is from RNAcentral.
CCUACGGGGUGCAGCAGUGAGGAAUAUUGGGCAAUGGGGGCAACCCUGACCCAGCCAUGCCGCGUGAGUGAAGAAGGUCUUCGGAUUGUAAAGCUCUUUCGGCCGUGACGAUGAUUACGGUAGCGUCUCACUACUCACCGGCAAACUUCGUGCCAGCAGCCGCGGUCAUACGAAGGGUGCGAGCGUUGUUCGGAAUUACUGGUCGUAAAGGGAGUGUAGGCGGAUAUGUAAGAUAGCGGUGAAAUGCCGGGGCUCAACCCCGGAACUGCCAUUAUGACUAUGUAUCUAGAGUAAUGGAGAGGAGAGCGGAAUACCCAGUGUAGAGGUGAAAGUCGUAGAUAUUGGGUAGAACACCGGUGGCGAAGGCGGCUAUCUGGCCAUUGACUGACGCUGAGGCUCGAAAGCAUGGGGAUCAAACAGGAUUAGAUACCCUUGUAGUC